UUUGUUGAUCUUGCUUAUCUAUAUACACACAGAUACAUACACGUAUAUCUUUGCAUUUUGUUCAUAUAUAUAUAUUAUAAAUAUGCUAUACCUUUAUCUAUAAACAUAGGGAACCUGCUGUAGCAGGGGGCUGAGCUUGAUGAUCUCCAGAGGUCCCUUCCAACCCCUUCGAUUCUGUGACGCAAUACAUUCCUUAUCUGAAUGUAUACCUUCAGGAAUUUAUCAGGUAUUGGCCAAAAUACUAGAUAAACAGUUUUACUGUACACUUUAAAAGGAGUAUUCAUGUUCCUUUUAUUAUAUUUACACAGUAAGUAAGAACACGAAAUACAGGAAUUACUUUUUGGAGAGCGCUCUUAAACUAAGUAUCUGUUUGUUUGACUUGGACGCUGGUACCUAAAUUCUGCCUGUGAAGCAUUUCCCAUUUAAUUUGAGUUCUACUUCUGUAUGAAUGUUCACAGAAUUCAUUGAUUUACACAGAAAGUAGAGGGAAAGUGUUUUGUUUUUUUUUUCUAAAAAAAAGGCUUUCUGAGUUACUGAUAUUAUCACACUUUUGUGGGAAGGGGAAAAUUUUUUUUUUUAUUACUAUUCUGAGGCUGUAGUGCAUUAUUUUCCUCAUUGUCUUCCCUGCUGGUUUUCAGAUGCAGUCACUCCCCAUUCCUCAAGAAUUGGACCAUGAUGUGGAUUUUUUUUUUGGAUGCGGGCAGCUUCCUGCAGCCAGCUGGGAUUGUAUCAGGAGUUAAGUGCUGCUGGAACAACUUGUAAAGAAUAGGAGUGCUUGAUGACAUUUACCAGGCCUUGCUACUGUGAAGACUGAUCACAGUCAUGCCAUUAAAAUGAAUAAUACCAUUUAAAUCAGAGGAAAGAAUCAGUGAUGUCAGUGGCAAGCUGUCUCCUGCAGAUGUAAUGGUUUUGACUUGCUUUUGGCUAAACUCUUCUUGAUGAUCUUCUCAGAGGUCAGUAGAUCCCAUUAUUUUCUUUUAGAUUUUAUUAUUUUUUCCAUUUCUGCUUGAUAUCAGCACAGAUCUCAAGUUUUUGGGGGGUAUGUCCCUGAAGUUACCUUACCUGCCCCUGAGCCCUGGCUUUUUUCUAUGCAGUGCAUACGAGAAGGGACCAUCAACUCAAUUACAAGACUAAAUGUAGUUCCAAGCUGCUCUGUUGGGCAUCACUGAGGAUUGUGUGAGUGCAGUGUUAGAUUGGAGAGUUUACAGCAGAAUUAUACGUUGUAUUUUGUACAGAGCUAUUGUAAAUUUACGAUAUAAACAUCCUCUUAUGUUUUGAGUAUAGUUUGCUAGAGUGUUUUCUGUAUGUGUUAUUUUUAUUUGCAAGCUUGUUUUAGGAAGACCUCAACUGUAUAAUCACUUUUAUUAUUAUGUCUUUGGGUGAUAGGAUUCACAGCCUUUGAAUGUGAAGCUUGAAGUCAUUCACUUUCAGACUUUUUAACACUUCUUUUGUGUACGUAUAGCUAAAAGUAUCACUAGGCAUUCAGAAACAGUUUAAUCCCCUUGUUUGGGUGAUUAUCUAAAAAAUCCUGAAAGGGGUCUUAAUAAUAAUAUGCAGGAAAAUAAUUAUGUUUUUAGUGGGAGAUAAGAUAUAACAGACAAUUGGAGGAGUUAGAGUUAACUGUGAUAGGUUAGUAAUGGAACUUCCCUUUUAGCCUUUCUUAUGGGGAGACUGAGAUAUGGUCCAGAAAUCUAAGAGAAUAAGUUAAGUUGAGAAAGGGGGCAAAGGGGAAGAGUUCAAUGACCACAAUUGCCUGAUACAAAAGUAGAGAAUGGAUACAGUUUGCUGAAACUGGGAUGAAAGGUCAGUGUCUGUAAUGAGCAGAUUCAGACCCCUUACCCAGGAAAAACGUCUGAAGCUACACAAUGUGACUUUCAUGAUGGUGUUUUGCUUAAUAGUAUAGUGAAUAAAUGGUAAUACACAAUUACCAUACAAUCAGAGAUUUCCAGACAAGUUUGCCAACAAAUGGCGAUGCUCAUGUAAAACAGCAAAGCAUUGUGUUUGAAGAUUUUUUUUUCCGUAAUGUGCUAUUUUUUGUGAUCCACUGAUUUCUGAACUUAAGGUUUCCCGAUUCAUAGCUGCAGACAAUAGAUAAAAUGUACAUUUUCAUAAUGAUAAAUUAUUUAAAUGUUAGAAAUUAUGCUCUUGUAAGUUUGGUGUUUGUUACUGUUCAGGUUUCAUUACAAUAUUUGGAUGUGAAAAAUAUAGAUGAGUCCAGAUAUGCUACUGUAUAAAGUUUUCACCUAUCUAGAACUAUUUAAUAACUCUGGUACAGUCUGGAGUCUUUAGCCUGUAUUAAACUGGCCUAAUUUUCUUAAACCUUGUUCAGAUUUAUUACAUUUAAAAAAGUAAUUAAAUACCUAGUCUACUUCAUCACUCAGUCAGAAGGUUGUCUUGUAUUUUUUCAAGUUGUUUUCAAGUUUAUCUGAAAUUGGAAAAGAGAACAAAAGUAAUCUAUGAAAUACAUUAUCAAAUAUAAUUUUAACUUUUUUCAAUUAAGUAGUAAUCCUCUGUUAUUAUAAAUAACGAUUAUAUUAUAUUAACUACACUGCAAGUAGAAAAUUCUGAUUUGGCUGCAUGAAACUAUUUGAGUACAACUUUUUGUACCUCCAAAUAAGUUAACAUUUCUUUAAAUUAAUAUAUUCUAUUACUCAGACUAAUCUGUUUGUGAGCUUACUUAUGACUGCAUACAUUAUUCACAACUCAAGUACUGUGUUGUUCAGUUUUGGGCCCCUUGCUACAAGGAAGACAUUGAGGCCCUGGAGCAUGUCCAGAGAAGUACAGCGAAGCUGGGAAGGGUCGGUAGCACAGGCCUUAUGAGGAGCAGCUGAGGGAACUGGGAUUGUUCAGUCUGGAGAAGAGGAGGCUCAGGGGAGACGUUGCCCUGCUAUUGCCUGAAAGGAGAUCAUGGCAAGGUGGGGGUCAGCCUCUUCUCAUCAGGUAACAGAGAAAGGAUGAGAGGGAAUGGCCUCAAGUGGCACCAGCAGAGAUUCAGUUUGGAUAUCAGGAAAAACAUCUCCGAAAGAGUGGUAGUGCAUUGGAACAGGCUGCCCAGGGCGGUGGUGGAGUCACCAUCCCUGGAGGUUUUUCAAGAAAUGCGUAGAUGUAGCACUGAGGGACAUGGUUUAGUGGGUAAUACUGGUGGUGGCUGGAUGGUUGCACUAGACAACCUUAGAGGCCUUUUCCAACCUUAAUGAUUCUAUGAGUCUAUUGCUAGCUUUUGGCAUAGAUGUGAUAGCUAGGUAUCACACCAGAAAAUUACAGAGAAUGAUGUUAAAAUUCAUUAAAAUUCAAGGGCAUCUGGAGUUACUGUUGGGAUUUGAAGACUGAAAAUGAAAAUAUCAAAAGCAAUCCUAAUGCUAGGCCUUUCGAAAUGAUUCAGUAGGCAUGCAAGAUUUCAUACUGGUCUUUUAAGUGGAUCUAAGAGAAUUAAUUUAAUAUCAGCAUGUUCAAUAUGGAUUAAGCAAACAUGUCAGCAGACUAACAAUGCUCAUGCUGUAAACUGUAUGUCCUUCUGUUAAUAAAGGCAAAGAGGUGCUGCUUUGCAUAAUUUAUGGUCUCAAUAUAGUAUAAUAAUUGAGAAUAUACAGGAACUGCUAUAAAUUCCUGAUGCAAUGCAAGCAUAAAUCUGUUAACUACUAAGCAUGAUUGACUGCAGUCUUUUUUCCUUCUUCCUGUAUUUUUUCUAGAUGGUAGGUGGCUUUUACACAAAUGGCAAUAUCAUGUUUUUAUUGCAAAGUUAGUGCUGAAUAAAUUGUAUAUAUGAUUGUCACCCACAUUUUUAGGGUUUUUUUUAGGGUGCAUAUUCUCAUUUUUGUAUACAUUUAAUGAGUAGCAGCUGAAAAUUGCAAGGAGAUUAAAAUGAAAUAAUACCUCAAGAUGAAAAUGCUGUAAAUCUAUCAGCUCCUCUAUAUGUUUCAUGCAAGGAAGGAGAGCAUUAUUACCAGAAAAUGCAACCAAUUGCAUGCAUGUAUUACUCUACUUACUUAUCUGCACACUUUUGAGAAUUCCUGACCAAGCCCCUGCCCAAAUAUAAAUCUGAUUUGCAAUAAAUUUCAAAAUUCAGGUUUUUGCUUUCUUUAUAUCUUAGUUUUUCCUAGUGAUUUACGUCAUUUAUGUUCAAACGUCUCUUAAGUUAAAAAAAUAAAAAUAAAAUUAAUGCAUUCAAGAAAGUUAACUUUAAUUUUGGAGUAUAGCUUUGGAAUGUUUUUUUUUCAGUAAAAAUCCAAAUAUUUGAUGAAAUAAAAUGAUUUUAUUAGCUCUUAUUUUAAUGAAUGCAUUUCAAAUUAUUUCAGGUGAACAUUGCUCUGUUCAAUGGUUUUGUUUGCUUGUUGUUUUUUUUACAGCAUAACAACAUUUACUUUUUAUAAUCUACAUACUUGAAAUGCAGUUUUGGUCUAUUGUUGCUUGUGGUGUUCUCCUUUUUAACCACUAGCAGAAAUUAUUUAACCUGUUAGAUACUGGAUUACUUGGCUUCCAUUCCUAGUUUCAGAUUUGGAUUGUCUUUCCUCUCUUCUGUAUUGGACAUUGAUAGAAAUUAGGAAGCUUACUUUGGGAGCUUUGCCUAUAGUUUGUUUUCUUUCUUUGCUUUUGAAUUGAUUUCCUAGGGUAUUCUUUUGCUUCUUUUAAGCUGCUGAGACACAGAUGUCUUGAUCUUUAGUAACACUGGAUGAAGUUUCAGCUAUUGGCUUCUUGCUAUUAGACCGUUGUUGCCAAUUUUAUCACUGAUGAUUUGCAUGAUUGAUAAAUCUAACCAAAAGGACGUUAAGUCUGGUUGUACUAUCAUAACGUUGUCAGCUGGAGUUCAACCUGCAUUUAGUUGCUGAGGCAAAACAGUAAUAAAGAUAUUACUCGGUAUUUGUAAGCCUAAACUUCAUUCUAUUUGAUUAAUAAAUACCCGGUCUUUUAGUUAGAAUGGUUUAAGGAGCUGUAUUAUUGGAGUGUGCAAUUAUCCAGAAAACCAAACCUCAACAUUCUAGGAAAUAACGGGAAAUACUACUUACUAUCUUACUAAAAACUCUUCUGAGAAGAGUUGCUGCUUAGAACCAGCACUUUAAAAUAAUGACAUCUAAAUAUAUUUUAGUAGAUCUUCCUACGAGUACAAAAGUCUUUCUUUGCUUGUUUGUUUUCUACACCCAAAAGUCUGUGUAAUUGAGUAAAUCCCUUCCAGUUUCUGAAACAUUUUAAUUUUGAAUAGAUUGUUCCAUAUGGAUUGCUAUUGCCACGCAAGUUAAAAGCCUUACCUUUUUUUUCCAGAGUUGUAAAUAUUUGAUUUUGCAUUCGCUUUAACAAAGAGAAAUCCUGACAAUUUUUUUUAUGUAGACAAGAUCUUGAUCCAUACUGGACUGGUGGAAGUUCUUUCGUGUCUUCAUUGGAGUGUAAAAUGUGUUAUUUUUCCCUCAAAGUAUUUUUGUACACAGAUUUUUGACCAGGAUAGCUGACUGACUCUAUGAAAGAGUAAAACUGCAUCAAAGCAUUCUGAAUUAUUUUAGCAGUAUACAGCCUGUAACAUUAAAAGCAUAAUGGCAUUUCUGCUGUCAUACUAAUAACUUUCAAUAGAUCAUUAUUUUAUAUUAUUCUUUAUUAUUUCUGGUACUGUGCCAACUUGCUAACUUGCUAUUAUUAGCUUAAAAAGAAAAAGAGACUUUUAUCCCUUUUAAUAUAAUUUGUUAAGGGAUUACAUUUCAUCAUGUUCCAGAUUUUAGUACUUAAACACCGGUUCUUUUUGUAAGUUUGUUGCUCUGCUCUUGAUGUACAUAUGCAGCCCUAAAAACAUUAGAAUCACUUGGUGGAAACACCUAUCUUGUGCCUAUAUAUAAUGUGGUAUGAUUUUAACAUUGAAAGCUAGGCCCCAGAGGGAGUUAAUAAUUUUAAAGAAUGUGUGACUUCUAUACAGGCUUCCUUUUUCUCCCUCAAAUCCUUCCCAUGUUUUUGAAAUGUUUGAUCAAUAAUCAUGUCAUUAAACUCCCUGAAUCAUUUUAUAUCAUUCUACUUGGUAUUUGUAUUAACAAUAUUCUGAGGAAGCCUUCCCUAAGUCCAGAGAAUACUGAGUGGCAGGGAGUGUGGAGGGACUUGGGAGAGACUUUAGAGAAAUGGGCAUCCCCAGUGUCAUGGAAUGUCACUCCUGAACAGCUGCAGAACAGCAUGGUUGCAGCCUCAGCAAAUCUCAGGAGGAACAAAUGAUUGGGGGCCUGGCUUAUGCCUACCGAGCAACGUUCAACACUAUUACAGAUAGAGACAGAGUCCAAGUCCUUAUUGUCAGAUACUCACAGCUGGCCUCCUAGAAGGGAAGAGUGCUCUGCCCCAUCACCCUGAAUUGGAAAUCACAUGAGUACUGGAGAAUUGUAGCUUGGGAAGCGUAGUCCGUCUCUUCUCAAUGUAUCUUCCUCUCGGAAAGCCGGAACUCACAUGGGAAUAGCUGAGACUGCUAGGAGCAAAAGACCCAAGAAGCAUAGCUCUCCAACACCAAACAGCUUGCUGCAUGAUGUCAUGAUAUGGAAUACUGACAAAACCAGGACAACAAGAACUUAAAGAAUAUUGGAAACAUAUUGGAACAUGACUAGUUGCUGCAGUCCUUAGCAUUGCGCAAGGCACGUGCAAGACACUGGCAAUGAGUCAAAAGAGAAAAGUAUAAGUUUCAAAUUUCAACACAGUUAUAUUUAAAACCUGUAUUUAAAUGUGUGCCUGUUUGUGAAACACAGAUUUUAUGAUCUAUUGCUAACUUCAAUUCAAAACCACUACAAGUAUACUCUACUAAGGCCAUUUCAGAAUCCUUUUUUCCUGAGGCACUUUUUUGUUUCAGGCUUGAGGCCACUCUAGUCAUUGCUGCAGGCAAAUCAAAACACAGAACUACAUUUAAUCCUCUAAGCAAAACUACUUACCAGACUCUCCAAGGUGAGAAGAGAAACCAAAAUCAUGCUGUG
Molecule: long non-coding RNA, 6923 nt
Organism: Numida meleagris (helmeted guineafowl)
Lineage: Eukaryota; Metazoa; Chordata; Aves; Galliformes; Numididae
Exons: 4
Source: RefSeq, a predicted model, not a curated record